CUACGGGAGGCAGCAGUGGGGAAUCUUGGACAAUGGGCGCAAGCCUGAUCCAGCCAUGCCGCGUGUGUGAUGAAGGCCUUAGGGUUGUAAAGCACUUUCGCCAGGGAAGAUAAUGACGGUACCUGGAUAAGAAGCCCCGGCUAACUCCGUGCCAGCAGCCGCGGUAAUACGGAGGGGGCUAGCGUUGUUCGGAAUUACUGGGCGUAAAGCGCACGUAGGCGGUUUUCCAAGUUGGGGGUGAAAUCCCGGGGCUUAACCCCGGAACUGCCUCCAAAACUGGAUCACUCGAGUCCGAGAGAGGUGAGUGGAAUUCCCAGUGUAGAGGUGAAAUUCGUAGAUAUUGGGAAGAACACCAGUGGCGAAGGCGGCUCACUGGCUCGGUACUGACGCUGAGGAGCGACAGCGUGGGGAGCAAACAGGAUUAGAUACCCUGGUAGUCCACGCCGUAAA
This 450-nucleotide ribosomal RNA is filed under the name uncultured Phyllobacteriaceae bacterium. RNAcentral describes it as "bacterial SSU rRNA". It matches the Rfam family "Bacterial small subunit ribosomal RNA", at positions 339 to 806 of the family's 1533-position model. The record is from RNAcentral. Lineage: Bacteria; Pseudomonadati; Pseudomonadota; Alphaproteobacteria; Hyphomicrobiales; Phyllobacteriaceae.